GCCAGUGUAGUUUAAGCUUUUAGUUAGUGACGGUGUCUCUCACGCGGAGGACCCUAUUACAUCCAGGAAAAUCAACACUUUUUUCAACGUAACAUCUUUAAACUUGCCGAUCAUGCAAAAUCGUCCAUACGAAAUUGAGACGAUGACGAGCCUAUCUGCGAGAGACACCGUCAAAUCGAUCAAUUCGACUAACUCAACGACGAACGGGGAAUUUUCCGCGAUGAUAAUUCCCAACGAUCCACGUCUUCAGUGUAAUAGAAAACGAAGACGAUUGGAUAUUUCGGCAACUGCCACGGUAAUUCCCCAAAAGACGCUACGACGCAACGAACAGGAUGAUGACAAUGGCUACGAUAAUACUAACAAUAUUCUUCCCGUCAAUUAUUAUGAAAAUUUACGAACGGUUAAGCGUGAGAACAAGAAGUUUAAUAAAAGAUUGCCAGACAAGGUAGACGAAAGAGAAUGCCAAGAGAAAAGACAGAUUGAAAACGAUACUACUUGUGUUAAUGUUAACAUAAAGAGAAAGAAACAGGAACAGGAUACAUCAAUAAGAAGACUCGUCAAUUCGAAUAAUAACGUUAAAGACGAGUAUUCUAGAUUGAGAAAAACAAUCCAAUGGCUCGAAGAAGGUGCUCGUAGAUUACGAGAGGAUCUUGCUAAUGCAAGAACAGAAUUGCACGAGGAAAGAAGGGCAGCAAAGUUAGUCAAAAGAGAAAUCGAAACGGCCAUUAGGGAAGCAAAGGCCACAGAAGCUACCAAGUAUCAACUUAUCAUCUCGGAAUUAAAGACCAGACUGUCUCGUGGCAGCUCGGCAGAAUCGAAUUGCACGUCGCCGUUGCCGUCGUCGUCGUCGUCGUUGCCGUCGUCGUCGUCGUCGUCGAAGGUGGACCUCGUAAAAGAAGAUAAUCGAAAACGUGAGAUAUCGGCAAUGAAGAAGAGGCUCGUCGAAUCUGAAAAUACGAUUAGAAAGCUCAAGUUGGAUAGUUUGAAUUUGCAACAGGGAAAAGUUGCUGCCCACCCCUGCAAACUCGAUGGAUCGACUUGUGCCGAGGUCCGACGCCUUCAAAAUGAAAUUCACGCGUUACGCGCGAAUAACGAUAAACUCGAGACGAAAUUACGCAUCGCAACAGAUGCUGAAAAAGCUCGAGCGGCCGAAUUACGGAUUCAACAUGAGAAUCAUGAGGCCGAACUCGCUGCAUUACGAAAAUCUUUGAGAAGCGAAACGAUUAAAAUGAUGGACGAAAUGCGAGGAAAGAGUCGCGAGAUCGAGAAGCUUUCGAAGUUACUUCAAACUGAGAACUCCCGGAAACAAAGAAAGAUGCACCAAAAAGACGAAUCAUCAUCGAUGCGGAAGUUACAGGACAGCGAGAAAAACGGACCGAUUCGGUCGACAUCUCGCGGAGAGAAGAAAUUCCUUGUGGAGGAUCAUCAUACCUUGGGUACGUACAUUCGCGAAGUUGGUUGCGACAGAGCCAUAGAAGAAAUCGAGGUCGAGCGCCUCCGUGAGCUUGCACUCGAACAACAAGAAGUCAUCGAGAUACUUAGACAGACGGUCAAGGAAAAAGAACGAAAGCUCGAGCAGCUGUCGAACAAGAAAAGGAAAGAGGAAUUCUAUAGGCAAUGGUUGGAGCUCGAGCCAGUGGCCGAGGUCGACGAUGAAGAGGAUCACGAGGAAGGUGACAGUGCCCUUUCUAGUGCACCAUCAUCCCUUUCUCCUCAGCCAGGUGGUUGUGGACAAUGGCAGGGGUCAGGUGUCACCCGAGAAGCCUACGAAGCUGUUCUCAUAGAAAUCGAGGAACUCCAAUCAAAAUUAUUAGAUGAACGUCAAGAAUUGUCUCGUGCUAAGACCGAAGUUCUCGAUCUUGAAAAAGCUCUUUUGCAAGAGACAAGAUGUAGCAAUCGUAAUAAACAAUUGGAAGAACUGAACGAGAAGUUGCGAGCAACAGAAGAACGUGAAGCUAAUCUCCUUGUGGAAUUGUCCGAGUUGAGAGAACAAAACGAACUUUUAGAAUUCAGACUUCUCGAACUGGAAGAAUCAACCACUCGUAAAGAGAAUCCUGAUCACGCGGCUGAUAGCGGCAUUGUCUCGCCGGAACUAUUACAUCCGAGCAAGGAUCAAGUAAUAAGCAAGCAAAGAAAUCGUGCAGUGGCUACAGUGAUUCCAUAUACAAACAAUAAUAAUUACACUACUACUACAACGACGACACGUACGAUUUCUCCUGUACCACGAAAAGCACCAUUGUCUCUUCAAGAAAGUGGUAUAUUCGAAGAGGAGGAUGAAGAGGGCUUAGAAGUCGAACUAGCGAGUAAAGGAACCCAAACGGAGAUACCUUCCGGUGAACUUCUUCAAGAGGUUCAACGUCUUCAAGAACUUCGUGCACGGAUUCAAGAACGUGCAGCUAAAGUAACAAACACAGCUACGACAAUAUGUUCGAUCGAUACAUCUAAAGCCUGUCCGGCACUUGACACGGACGUUGAUUCGAUCGUUCAAUUGUCCUCCUAUCAAGAUCGUAUAAGAGAUUUGGAAGAUAGAUUAGAGGCUUACGAAGAGGCUGAAGAAAGGCAAACGGAGGAGAGACGAGUGACGAAGCAAAGGGAAGAAGAAUUGCUUGAUGAAAAUUACAGGUUAACCGAGAGGGUUUAUUGGCUUGAGAAUAAAUUACAUAACGUUGAGGAACUCAUUGAGAAUAGAAGCAGAAGUAGAAGUAACGAUAGAAGGAUUAUUCGUGAUGACAAUGAAUACGACAAAAUGGAAAAUGAUAAACAAUGCGACUGUCAAGUUUUUCAAAAUUACCAAGAAGUUCAACGAAAGACAAAAGGUGAAAACGUAACGUUCGAAAUAAUGGAGGACAUAUUGAAUCGUUCGAAAGAAGUUCAAACGACUGUUAUCGAAUCAAUUGAAGAUUGUUGUUCAUGUUGCCGAAUGUGUGAGAUUAACAAAAGAACGGAACAACCUCAGGAAUGGAUCGCACCGGAAACACGUCGUGUUAUGGUGGAAGUUGUUCAAAAUUGUACGGAGGAAAUGGUCGAGGAAGUAGCGCGGGAGGCCAAAGAAGAUGAAAAUGACGUUGACGAGGUUGACGAGGUUGAUGCAUCUGAGAAAAAUGAGAACGAUGAGCACGUAGAAAGAAGAAAAAGAAGAAGAAGAAGAAGAAGCAUCACGGAAGUUGCCGCGGGGAAUUUGGAGGAGAACAACGACGAGCCGAUAAAUUCGGUCGUUCAUUUAAACGACGAAUUGGAAUCCAAAAAGAAGGUGAUCUACUUUCGCUGGAGGUGAAAAUCCUUUCGUUUCUUGUCGGUGUAGAAGAGACUAUUCGUAUGCGCGUUUAUACUCAACAACAUUACAAGUACCACGAUAUGAUCGAUAAACUUCACCGUUGAUCUCUCAAUGCAUUAGCAAGGACAAAAUAGCUGGCGUUGCUUGACACCGGCUAAGCAUCGACCAGAAUUUGUUUCUGAGGGAAAAGAACAAUGGAGUCAUCUCGUCAUCUCGUUGUGUACCAUCGAAAGUAAAUAGAAAAGAAAAAACAAAAUAUCAUGCGCGCUUAUAUAAGUCUCUUUAACUAACAAAACCGACAAACAAUCUACACAUUGUUAUAGUAAACCAACUGCCAACAAGAAGAAAAUCAAAGGACCCUUCUGUCAGUGCCAAAAUGAAUAUAAUCUGAUUAUUAUAAACAAAAUCAAAUAUUAGGUUGAAUGAACUUUGAUCUGCAUUUGAUCGAAAGAUAAAUAUUUUUUGAUAUACAACAAGCAGAGGUCGCCAAAGUGAUGGUCCACGGAUCACUAGUGAUUAAGUCAUGUUAUGUUUUAACACUAGAUUUACAGGCAUUGCCUGUAUACCUUUUUUUUUACUGAAAUCCAUCUUUUUGAAGGGUAUGUUAACACUAAUCUAAAUUUGUUCGUGUCGCGCCGGUGGAACUGACUUACAUAAUUUCGCUUAUCGCCGGUGGUUUAAUUUCAUUUUAAUUAAUUAAUUAUUAUUUAAUUAAUAAACGCCGAAGUGCGGCCAUUAAAGUGUUAACUUUCGUUCUACAGUUUUGAAUAUCACAAUAAAACCAUCGGCUCUUGCGCGAUAAUUUUUGCAUGGCACCAACGUAGAGCUACCGACACUUACGCGAUAAUUUUUGCAUGGCACCAACGUUAAGCCAGUGGCACUUACCCAAUAGUUUUUCACAUGGCACAAACGUGGAGCCACCAGCACUUACGCGAUAAUUUCCAAAUGGCACCAAUGUGGAGCCACCGGCAUUUACCCAAUAAUUUUUGCAUGGCACCAGUGUGGAGUCACCGGCACUUACUCGAUAGUUUCCGCAUGGCACCAACGUGGAGCUACCGGUACUUACGCGAUAGUUUCCGCAUGGCACCAACGUGGAGCCACCGGCACUUACCCAAUAGUUUUCACAUGGCACCAACGUGGAACCACCAGCACUUACGCGAUAAUUUCCGAAUGGCAACAACGUGGAGCCACCGGCACACCCGAUAAUUUUUGCAUGGCAACAACGUGGAGCCACCGACACUUACGCGAUAGUUUUCGCAUGACACCAAGGUGGAGCCACUGUUACUUACCCAAUAGUUUUUCACAUGGCACAAACGUGGAGCCAUCGGACGUCAUAGUGUUAAUAGUUUCAUUUUAUUAACUAAAUACAUUUUAUCUGUUCUUAGAUCACAAUUUUGUUUAUAAAUAUAUUUAAUUAACACUUAAAAAAUCCUAUUAGUGGUCAGCAAGAUUUAAAUGAUGAAUUUACUGGUCCGUGUGAUCAAAAAGUUUGGCGACCACUGCAAUAAAUAUCACUUAAAAAGAAAGAAAGAAGUAAAAUCGAUCCUUGCCAUUCUUAAUCCUCGCCUUUUAACAUAAACAAUUUCCGCGAAUUAUAUUUACCGAAAUAGUAAUCCUCAAUGUAAAACGAUUUUAUAAAAUACGAAUCGAAACGAAUUUGAAAAUCUUAACGA
This is an RNA transcript of Polistes dominula (European paper wasp), 4947 nucleotides long. RefSeq lists it as uncharacterized. The record is from RefSeq and is a predicted model, not a curated record. NCBI's taxonomy places the organism in Eukaryota, Metazoa, Arthropoda, Insecta, Hymenoptera, Vespidae.